GUCCUUGUAGCUUAAUAACAAAGCAUAGCACUGAAGAUGCUAAGAUGCUGUCCCACACACCCAAGGACA
Molecule: transfer RNA, 69 nt
Filed under: Larus vegae (Vega gull)
Lineage: Eukaryota; Metazoa; Chordata; Aves; Charadriiformes; Laridae
Description: tRNA-Phe
Rfam family: tRNA
About the family: Transfer RNA (tRNA) molecules are approximately 80 nucleotides in length.
Source: RNAcentral